Brienomyrus brachyistius is the source of this 4183-nucleotide long non-coding RNA. RefSeq lists it as uncharacterized. The transcript has 2 exons. Lineage: Eukaryota; Metazoa; Chordata; Actinopteri; Osteoglossiformes; Mormyridae. The record is from RefSeq and is a predicted model, not a curated record.
GACAGGAAUCCCCUCUCAACACUUCACGGCUAACCGUUUUUCGCAUAAAUGAGCGUUAGCUGGCGGUCACCGUCUUUGCCCGUAAAGAACAAAACAGAACGGGACCAAGCGGCUCUGCUGGGCAACCAUCAGCUAACCCGGCUGAGUGGGUAUAAGCUCUUCGCAUAGCGUUGGCUGGCAGCCUCCCAGUUUCCACGUAAAAAACAAAACUGAACGGGAGGAAGCGGCUCUGCAGCACGACCACUGGAUAACUUGGUUGGCUAAAUGUAAUGAAUGGAAAGGAAAAGGCGAACAGAAAGGGAAUCGGCAGGCAGGAUCGAAGUCGUGGUGACGGUGCGUGAAAUCUCAGGUGCCGGGAGGUCAGUCCGACGAGCAGCACACGAGGCACGGAUCAGGCUGGAAGGAGAGGUCCGAGGGGGAAGGGGUUCGGGACGGAUCAGGGCUAGACAGAAGCUAGACCGCUCAGUAAGGCUCACAUAAACACUCAACAAUGCCUCAUACAGAAUGCAGAGCAGGACAGGGCUAAAUUCAAAUUGGGAGUAGGGCAGAUGUUUUCACUCAGGUGCGACUGCUGCUUUUGCAUUCUCACGAGGGGGGUAUGGCACCAUGGUUAAAAUAUACAUCAUUAACGCUAUAUUACAUUCAUGAAUAUGUAAUCUAUCUAAAACAAAUUGUCAGAGAUUUUUGUCACUGGUCUUAUCAAGACCGAUGACUAUGUGGGGUCUACCGAGAGGCAUAUCGCUGCAGCCAGGAGCUGAAUAUCGAGUGGGAGGGACAAUGUCGAAUAGGGAGGGGCAAUGGGGGAGGGAUUAAUAACUGUUAUCAUCUGAUACCCCAACCCUAAUGCUCAUGAUAAGCCCCUCCUAACUGAUAUUGCCCCACCCACUCAUCUCUCAGCUGCAGCGAUAUCCACGUGGGUCUACUGCCAGAUAGGGGAGAAACAGAUUCUUUAAUCCGCGUUGAUUUUAGUGAAAAUUACAAUACAGCAGGUGCAGAUUGCAAUUUCGUAUAUCCCACCAGCAGGCUACACUUCACAAUGGGGUCUUGGACGUCUAUAAUCCCUUUCUGCUCCAUCUCUCCCAGCUGCCAGCACGUUCCUCCAUCUCUCUGAGCUCAUCUUUCACCUGUUCUUAGCAGACUGAAGGACGGAUGUCCAAGAAUCACUAACACACACUUUUUCAGCGAUGGACCAGUCACCCAGUAUAAACGAAAAGCAGACUUCUGCAUGCUGAGCCACAUAAGAUGGGUUUCAUGGUGGUGAGCUGGCAUUUCUAAGAGGCCAGCCAUGGUAAGACCGUGCCAGAUUAAAUCGGUGGCUCCUUCAAAAGGACUGAGGACAAUCUGAUGCAUCAUGGAACAGAUUUACCAGAUGCUGCAGCCCUGUUCCACUGCCUCAAACAGAAUACAACUUUUGUGGAGCUCUUAUGUUCCAAGAAGAUGUGGAGAAGAUGGCACAACCCAUUGUGGAGGGCCUCCCUCUUGUAACUACAAUCCCAGAUUAACUUUCAGACAUACGAACGAAGAGGACUGUAAGUCUAAAUUGUGUUCAUUGGGCUCCCGUUUCCUGUCCACAACAUAAUUUUUUUUUUGUGCGCCAAUUCCGCCCAGUACGACUUAUGGCCGCUAUUCCCACCACACAGCAGCGUAGCGUGCGUACUCCCAGCAUCCUAGUUCUUAGUACUUGUGUAUUCCCUUAAAAAUCAUGAUGAAUAACGACUUUUAACCAACAUUUAAAGUUGUGAAUGGCCAUUCAGAACGUAUCUCGAUCGUAAAUAGAGGAGCGUAUAUACUGUAGAUGUUGCAAGACCUAAAUUCUCUGCAAUCUUUCAUUGAGGAGUGUUCCUUUUGAACUAACAAUCCUGUCACGAAUAUUGUCACAAAAGGGUGUGGCAUGGCAGAUAAUUGCUUGGAAAGACUGAGCCUUUGAUGGAUGCUACCUUCAUUCCCAAUCAUGAUACCUCCCCUGCUGCCAAUUAGCCUACAUAAUGUGGAGUCUUCCAAACCGGUCUUACUUGAAUAUUCUGUGCAGUUUUCAGUCUUAUUUUAACUCUCCCAACUUUUGUUCAGUGUGUUGCAGCCAUAAAAUUCUAACUUUGCAUAUAUUUACAAAAUGAUUAAAUGAAUUAAGUUGGUCAGUACAACUGUUCUUAGCAGACUGAAGGACGGAUGUCCAAGAACCACUAACACACACUUUUUCAGCGAUGGACCAGUCGCCCAGUAUAAACAAAAAAGCAGACUUCUGCAUGCUGAGCCACAUAAGAUGGGUUUCACGGUGGUGAGCUGGCAUUUCUAUGAGGCCAGCCAUGGUAAGACCGUGCCAGAUUAAAUCGGUGGCUCCUUCAAAAGGACUGAGGACAAUCUGAUGCAUCAUGGAACAGAUUUACCAGAUGCUGCAGCCCUGUUCCACCGCCUCAAACAGCAUACAACUUUUGUGGAGCUCUUCUUUGUGUUCCCAGAAGAUGUGGAGAAGAUGGCACAACCCAUUGUGGAGGGCCUCCCUCUUGUAACUACAAUCCCAUUUCCAGAAAAGUUUUGGAACUGAGGAUGCUAAUUGUAGUAAUUUCGCAUUUGGAAAUUUUGUCCAUUUUUGCAUGAUGUAAGAUUUCAGCUGCUCAACAGUCUGCGGUUGCCAUUGUCCAAUUCUCCUCUUCAUGAUGUGCCAUACAUUUUCAAUAGCAGACAGAUCUGUACUGGCAGCAGGCCAGUCAAGCACACGCACACAACACUCUGUCUACGAAGUCACGCUGUUGCAGCCCUUGCAGAAUGUGGUCUGGCACUGUCCUGCUGAAAUGAGCAUGGACGUCUCUGGAAGAGAUGUUGGCUUGAUGGCAGCACAUGUCUCUCUAAAAUCCUAAUAUAUGCCUCAAAGUCAAUAGUACCUUCACCUACAUGCAACUCCCCUAUGCCAUGGGCAAUGAUGCACUCCCAUACCAUUACAGAUGCUGGCUUUUCCACCUUUUGCUGAAAGCAAUCUGUAUGUUCAGUUUCAUUUUUGGCAUAGAGAACGUGACACUCAUUUUUUUCCGAAAAAGAAAAACUGAAAUGUGGACUCAUAUGACCACAGCAGAUGGUUCCACAGUCUCUUGGUCCAUCUGAGAUGAGCUCGGGCCAGAGAACUCGCCAGCACUUCUGCAUGGAGCUGACAUACAUGUAUGGCUUCCUCCUUGUCUAAUACAGUUUCACGUUGCAUCUCUGCCAAUGGUUUUCCGAAGUACUCUUAAUUUACCGAGGAGGGGAAAAAAACACGCUUACCUUCACGGCAGAUCUGACAACUAAGCCCAGGUGGCAGGUCACUGUGGCAUGACAGUUUCUUAGGCAGUGCUGCCUGAGGGUUUGAAGAUCACACGCAUUUAACAGUGGUUUCUGAACGUGCCCUUUACACACUGAGAUGUCUCUGCAUUCUCUGAAUCUUUCGACAUUAAUAUGUACAGACGCUCCUCUACUUACAAAUUUUUAACUUCCGAACUUUCAGACAUACGAACAAAGAGGACUGUAAGUCCAAAAUGUGUUCACUGGGCUCCCGUUUCCCGUCCGCAACAUAAGUUUUUUUCUGUGCGCCAAUUCCGCCCAGUACGACUUCUGGCCGCGACUCCCGCCGCGCAGCAGCGUAGCGUGCGUACUCCCAGCGUAGCGUGCGUACUCCCAGCAUCCUAAUUCUUAGUACUUGCGUAUUCCGUUAAAAAUUAUGAUGAAUAACGACUUACGAACAUUUAAAGUUGCGAAUGGCCAUUCAGAACGUAUCUUGUUCGUAAAUAGAGGAGCGUCUGUACUGUAGAUGUUGCAAGACCUAAAUUCUCUGCAAUCUUUCAUUGAGGAGUGUUCCUUUUGAACUAACAAUUCUGUCACAAAUAUUGUCACAAAAGGGUGAGGCAUGGCAGAUAAUUGCUUGGAAAGACUGAGCCUUUAAUGGAUGCUACCUUCAUACCCAAUCAUGAUACCUCCCCUGCUGCCAAUUAGCCUACAUAAUGUGGAGUCUUCCAAACCGGUCUUACUUGAAUAUUCUGUGCAGUUUUCAGUCUUAUUUUAACUCUGUCCCAACGUUUGUUCAGUGUGUUGCAGCCAUCAAAUUCCAACUUUGCACAUAUUUACAAAAUGAUUAAAUAAAUGAAGUUGGUCAGUAUAAGUGUUUAGAAUCUUUUUUAUGUACUUUUGUCAGUCAAAUAAAGGUUUGAGUGGAGUAACA